CAGUAGCCGCGGUAAUACGAAGGGUGCAAGCGUUACUCGGAAUUACUGGGCGUAAAGCGUACGUAGGCGGCUUUGUAAGUUAGAGGUGAAAGCCUGGUGCUCAACACCAGAACUGCCUUUAAGACUGCAUCGCUUGAACGUCGGAGAGGUGAGUGGAAUUCCGAGUGUAGAGGUGAAAUUCGUAGAUAUUCGGAAGAACACCAGUGGCGAAGGCGGCUCACUGGACGACUGUUGACGCUGAGGUACGAAAGCGUGGGGAGCAAACAGGAUUAGAUACCCCUGUAGUCCCUGUCUCUUAUAC
RNAcentral lists this ribosomal RNA (301 nucleotides) under uncultured bacterium. Its description in RNAcentral is "partial 16S ribosomal RNA". It matches the Rfam family "Bacterial small subunit ribosomal RNA", at positions 509 to 807 of the family's 1533-position model. The record is from RNAcentral.